This 460-nucleotide unclassified non-coding RNA is filed under the name Hevea brasiliensis (rubber tree). Lineage: Eukaryota; Viridiplantae; Streptophyta; Magnoliopsida; Malpighiales; Euphorbiaceae. The record is from RNAcentral.
UGCCACUACGGUGCCCACAGAUUUUGCUUGACUGCUGGCCUUUGUUAUAUCUAACUUCUCCAUCCUGAAAAUGAUGGCAAGCAAAAAUGUAAAACCUGGCAUCAAAUUCCCUAAAGCAGCUGCCAGUGUAGGAGUGCUGUACUUAAUACCUGUAAAGGCCACAGCUUGCACCAAACAAAUUCCCAACAGGCCAAGAAGGAAGAAUCUCCACAAUAUAGGCAAAGUAAUAGGAACCAUAUUGCUUCUGUGUCUAUGGAAGAUUAAGCAAGGAAGAAGAAAAAGGGUACCAAGGGCAUUAUAGUAAACAACAUAAACAAGAUUGUUCAAUCCAUCAUUCAUGGCUGCUUUACCAAGUGUAAUCAUCAACAUUUCACAACAUUCCACCAUCACCAUUGCCAAAAAGGGCAAGAAAUCAGUUGACCAACAUUGCAUCACCAUUUUUCUUUCUUUACACUCCCAG